AAUCCGUGUUGCGGUUACAUUCUCAGUAGCUCCUUGAACCUUUCCCACGUCUCAAAUAGAGACUCCAAUUCCUGACUGUACAAAGGAUGAGAUCUCAUUCCUAGGCUU
Molecule: small nucleolar RNA, 108 nt
Organism: Dioscorea cayenensis subsp. rotundata (Guinea yam)
Lineage: Eukaryota; Viridiplantae; Streptophyta; Magnoliopsida; Dioscoreales; Dioscoreaceae
Source: RefSeq, a predicted model, not a curated record